This 253-nucleotide ribosomal RNA is filed under the name uncultured bacterium. RNAcentral describes it as "partial 16S ribosomal RNA". It matches the Rfam family "Bacterial small subunit ribosomal RNA", at positions 524 to 776 of the family's 1533-position model. The record is from RNAcentral.
UACGUAGGGUGCAGGCGUUAAUCGGAAUUACCGGGCGUAAAGCGUGCGCAGGCGGUUUCUUAAGUCAGAUGUGAAAGCCCCGGGCUUAACCUGGGAACUGCGUUUGAAACUGGGAGACUUGAGUGUGGCAGAGGGGGGUGGAAUUCCACGUGUAGCAGUGAAAUGCGUAGAUAUCAGGAAGAACACCCGUGGCGAAGGCGGCUCUCUGGGACGGUACUGACGCUGAGACGCGAAAGCGUGGGGAGCGAACAGG